GAUUUUCGUUUGCCUAAAUCAAUUAAACAAAUUUUAAGUAAGAAACUAGUAUAUUUCACCAGAACCUAAAAACAAGAACAAGACGAAGAAGUUAGAAAUAAAGGCUCAAGAAAGAUUCAAAUAAUAAUAAUCAGAAGUCAAAAGAAAAAAAAUCAACUAAAGACAACAAUCUAUGGAAUGCAUAUUGAAAUAACAAAAUGAAAAGUAACAAGAAAGAAAUAACCAAAUUCGAAUUGCAUUGCUACAAUAUAAUGUGUAAAAGAAGGUAUUUAUAACUUAUAAGCCUAUCUAGUAAGUAUACACCAGUUUCCAUUUCCAAUGUCAAAACCCUAAUAGAAAGACUUAACUCGUAGAACUUCAAUACUUCAUUGGAAGUGUAUUUAGAAGAGCAAUAAUUCAUCAAACUGAACAAACAGAAGCAUACAUAUUUGCAACAAUAUCCAACAUAUAAAACUGUAUCAAGCAUCAGUUAGGAGAUUUUAACUUACAACAAAU
RNAcentral lists this unclassified non-coding RNA (495 nucleotides) under Hevea brasiliensis (rubber tree). Lineage: Eukaryota; Viridiplantae; Streptophyta; Magnoliopsida; Malpighiales; Euphorbiaceae. The record is from RNAcentral.